GCGUAGGUGAUAUGCCUGUUAGUGGGGGACAACAUCGUGAAACGGUAGCUAAUACCGCAUAAGCUUGGUGAAAUUGAAAAACCAAGGAAAGGGGCUUCGGUCUCGCUGACAGAUUGGCCUGCGUAGCAUUAGCUUGUUGGUGGGGUAAUGGCCUACCAAGGCAACGAUGCUUAACUGGUCUGAGAGGAUGAUCAGUCACACUGGAACUGAGACACGGUCCAGACUCCUACGGGAGGCAGCAGUAGGGAAUAUUGCACAAUGGAGGAAACUCUGAUGCAGCAAUACCACGUGAGUGAGGAA
This 300-nucleotide ribosomal RNA is filed under the name uncultured Bacteriovoracaceae bacterium. RNAcentral describes it as "bacterial SSU rRNA". It matches the Rfam family "Bacterial small subunit ribosomal RNA", at positions 115 to 412 of the family's 1533-position model. Lineage: Bacteria; Pseudomonadati; Bdellovibrionota; Bacteriovoracia; Bacteriovoracales; Bacteriovoracaceae. The record is from RNAcentral.